ACGUAGGGUGCGAGCGUUAAUCGGAAUUACUGGGCGUAAAGCGUGCGCAGGCGGUUCGUUGUGUCUGAUGUGAAAGCCCCGGGCUCAACCUGGGAAUGGCAUUGGAAACUGGCGAGCUAGAGUGUGGCAGAGGGGGGUGGAAUUCCGCGUGUAGCAGUGAAAUGCGUAGAGAUGCGGAGGAACACCGAUGGCGAAGGCAGCCCCCUGGGCUGACACUGACGCUCAGGCACGAAAGCGUGGGGAGCAAACAGGA
RNAcentral lists this ribosomal RNA (253 nucleotides) under uncultured prokaryote. RNAcentral's name for it is "partial 16S ribosomal RNA". It matches the Rfam family "Bacterial small subunit ribosomal RNA", at positions 525 to 777 of the family's 1533-position model. The record is from RNAcentral.